CCUACGGGAGGCAGCAGUGAGGAAUAUUGGUCAAUGGGCGCGAGCCUGAACCAGCCAAGUCGCGUGAGGGAGGACGGCCCUACGGGUUGUAAACCUCUUUUGCCGGGGAGCAACGGGCGUCACGUGUGGCGCCACUGAGAGUACCCGGAGAAAAAGCAUCGGCUAACUCCGUGCCAGCAGCCGCGGUAAUACGGAGGAUGCGGGCGUUAUCGGGAUUUAUUGGGUUUAAAGGGUGCGUAGGCGGAUCGUUAAGUCAGUGGGAAAAUUGAUGGGCUAAACCCCUUCCCGCCAUUGAAACUGGCGCUCUUGAGUGGAAGAGAAGUAUGCGGAAUGCGUGGUGUAGCGGUGAAAUGCAUAGAGAUCACGCAGAACCCCGAUUGCGAAGGCAGCAUGCCGGCUUCCGACUGACGCUGAAGCACGAAAGCGUGGGGAUCGAACAGGAUUAGAUACCCGGGUAGUC
Molecule: ribosomal RNA, 460 nt
Filed under: uncultured bacterium
Lineage: Bacteria
Description: partial 16S ribosomal RNA
Rfam family: Bacterial small subunit ribosomal RNA
Source: RNAcentral